ACCAAAAGCACAUUUCAGUGAACCAAGACUGUCACUGAGGCCUCCAAAAAAAGAAAAAAAAAAGGUACAUGCCCAGCAAAAAGGUCUUUGACAUCCUCAAGGAAACAAAAAAAUAAGUCAAAACCUUGUGCACAUGCACUAAUAUGAAUAAUCUCUCAAAUUAAUGUGUAUAAUGCUUAAAAACUCAGUCCGACAUUCACCAGGCAAAGGUCAUCUCGCAAAGGCCCAGUGGACACGGAUCGUGUGCCAAGCUGACGCAUUUAUUCUUGCAUUUCAAAUGUGCUAUCAAAAGGCAGAAGGAUGCAGGAAACCUCCAGACUCUUGCCUUGACAGAGUUAAAACCGCAGGUCGCCCUCAUGCAAUCGCAGAGACCAGAACUGCUGUGACAGGUUUUCUCCUUGUGCUCUUCCUCAGUGCUGUUCCAUAAAAGCUCACGCGCUUUGACGCUAAUGUUUUUCCGAAGCCCUCCCUUAACGACGCUGAAAUAAAGUCCUUCCCCUGAGGAGACACUGGCAUUAGAGUCAAGCCAAGUCGUGAUAGUGCCACCACCGCGGCACCGGUUUAUUCGCAAGCGCUCGCUGCCACUAUUGACUUGGCGGAUUAGCACGCCACGCAUGAGCCCUCCUCGGCCCCCACCGCCAGGAUCCAUGAGAACAGAAUGGGGUCAGAGGCGCGUUAGGGCAGAACACACUUAGAUGCACCAGAUUAGAUUAUUUGAAGCCCUUUGCCGAGCUCUCGUCCUGACAACAAAUAUCCCCGGGCCACUCGGAGAUGGUCACUGGGCGACUGCUCGCGACGUGGCAAAAACAAUGUGUUGAUUUUGAUCUAGCGUGGAGCCGCUCCCUCUGUCCAUAGCAGUUAUGUAAAUAAACAUGUCAUUCGGGAGGUUAAAGCUAAUUUCAGACCCUCCGUUUUAGAUUAUGUCAAAGAAAGAGGAGCAGAAAAACAUGCUUGUGACCUUUCGGCUAAGGCUGUCUGUGUGGCUAAUUUACAAGUGCUGUGUUAAAGUCCGGGGUCAGGCAUUUUAAAUGGCCGGGCAUUUUUUCCAUUGCCUGUUUCAUUAAAAAAAAAAAAAGCAUUGUGGGCUUCGGGACGCGCAACUCUCCGGAUCUGACCUCUACAUCACAGAGGCAUGCUCUGUUAAAUUAGUUUGAUGUGUUGCCCUGAGCACAUGUAGCAUUUAGUCUAUUGUCCACUUUCACCUCACAGCUCUCGCUUUUAACCCUUUGCAUUUAAUAACAGGGUCCUAAUGGAAAUCUACAUCUCAGAACGAUGGACUUGGUUGCUGAGCGAGAGAGCAGCGUUUCGAAUCCAGAGCCAGCCAAAUGUGGGUUUUGUCUUCCCUUUAAUCUCCUCAUCCAUCCUUUCACUCCUUUUUCCCCCCUUCUUUGUUGUUCUCAUCAGAAAGCGAGAUUUGCAUUGCUCUUCGGUGUCCUAUCCUAUCUCUUUUGUUCUCGCUCUCUCUCCUGAUUUGACUGGAUUGUGGAAGAGAGAUGAUUGUGUAGCCUCAGGGCGAUGCGUCAAUGUCAGGAGAAUCAACGUGCAGACGCUCGGUAAACACGGGAAACUAAACAAGGUGUUUGUAAAUGGCAAAAAAUGGGGCUGAUCUCUCAACUCUUUCUCUUUUGUGCGCUAACAUCGCCGUCUUUCCCUCUAACUGCUGAGGAAAAUACAUAGCCGGUGUGAUUUAUCAUCUAUACAUAAUGUAAUAUCGCAUGAGCUUCAACGGCUCAAUCAGUUAUGUUAUUUCAAGAUUAAACUAUUAAAUAAUCACAUCUAAUAAAAUAUCUAUAUGAUUUCGGAUUCAUUUUCCAUACUGAGAAUCAAUCAACAAACAAUGUCCUUUGAAUUAAUUUUUCAAGAGACUUAGAGCUCAAGUGAGGAAUGAAAAUCGAGAUGGAUGUACAAAUUCAAACGAUAAAAGAGUUACAUUUUAGAUUUUAGUAGAGAAAACAAAUAGUUUCUGUACCUAACUUUGACAAAUAAUUACAUGCACUGCUUCAUAUUCUAAAAGCAUUUCCUUUAAACUAUUUUGGGCUCGAUUUAUUCCAAUCGCAGUUGUUUAUUUCCAGGCCCUGGGAACUUGUCUAUGAUGUAAAGAUUGUGAGGGCUACAAGACAUAAUGCUAUUGAUUUGCCUGUGAAUCGGGUGGACAGCGACCAUGCUGCAAUCUGGGGCAACGUCAGAGCAUGUGUGCGUACCACAUCAGAGCUCUGCAGAGAGGACAUGACAAUGUUUUGAUACGGUCAUCAUGUUCUCAUGCCUGAUGCCCUGUAAUUCCUCUGUGACAGAGCCGAGACAUAAUGAGAUCCAUAUGGGGCUGCUAGAGACCGCCAGAUCAGCACUGGAGAUAGACAGGACCAAGAAAGGUCCAUCCGCAUGGCUCUAUCAAACCAGCAUCAGUGUCAUGCCUGCAGCCCGUUCACUGACUGUCUGAUGCAUGUGUCACUAAAAAAGCAAGCACUUUCUCAAACUGACAAGCUUUAAUGUGAUUGGUUGACUACUAUGUUACUUCUAAAGACCAAAGCAUACUUCAUUCAUGGAGUCGAAGGCAUAGCCUUUCAAAGUUUACUCCAUUUAAUAGCGUGCGCUAACACAGGCGGUCGACAAGGCAUUACUCCGGUAUUAUGUUGUUGUUGUUUUGUCUCUUUAGUUUUGUUUUCUACUGUGAAACAACAGUGCGGCCCAGUGCUGCCACCUUGUGGAACAACUGAUUAGUGCAAAACCAAGUCAACGUGCAUGUUUUACAAAAAUCAAAGGGUGUGCGUACUGUUUUAGUGAUGAAAUUUGUGUCAUUAAGGGUGUAUGAAUACAGCAAUCGCACUCGGGUGCAGACCAAACAAUUGUACCGAGACCCAGCUGAAGAGGUGGUCUCGGUCCAGUUCCAAACAAACUCUGGUAUGGUUGGAUAGAUGAAGUUUUAAAUUUAUAUAAAAUUAAUAGUAGUAAUAAAUAAAUAAUACAUAACGUGGAUUCUAUAUUUAAUACACAAUAUGAUCUUAUAACUUGUUAUUAACUUUCUAUUUACAAUGUAAUAUAAUGUAAUAUAAUAUGUAACCACAUGAUUAUACAAUGAUGGUUUUAUAUCUGUGUCAGUUCUGAUUGGGAAUAAACUGUAUGUGUGUG
Long non-coding RNA from Cyprinus carpio carpio, 3126 nucleotides. Lineage: Eukaryota; Metazoa; Chordata; Actinopteri; Cypriniformes; Cyprinidae. The record is from Ensembl.